Molecule: ribosomal RNA, 484 nt
Filed under: uncultured bacterium
Lineage: Bacteria
Description: partial 16S ribosomal RNA
Rfam family: Bacterial small subunit ribosomal RNA
Source: RNAcentral
AUUGAACGCUGGCGGCAUGCUUUACACAUGCAAGUCGAACGGCAGCGCGGGCUUCGGCCUGGCGGCGAGUGGCGAACGGGUGUGUAAUGCAUCGGAACGUGCCCAGUAGUGGGGGAUAGCCCGGCGAAAGCCGGAUUAAUACCGCAUACGACCUGAGGGUGAAAGCGGGGGUCCGAAAGGCCUCGCGCUAUUGGAGCGGCCGAUGUCGGAUUAGCUAGUUGGUGGGGUAAAGGCUUACCAAGGCGACGAUCCGUAGCUGGUCUGAGAGGACGACCAGCCACACUGGGACUGAGACACGGCCCAGACUCCUACGGGAGGCAGCAGUGGGGAAUUUUGGACAAUGGGGGCAACCCUGAUCCAGCCAUGCCGCGGGCGGGAAGAAGGCCUUCGGGUUGUAAACCGCUUUUGUUCGGGAAGAAAUCCUCUGGGCUAAUACCCCGGGGGGAUGACGGUACCGGAAGAAUAAGCACCGGCUAACUACGUG